This 715-nucleotide long non-coding RNA is filed under the name Chinchilla lanigera (long-tailed chinchilla). Its description in RNAcentral is "lncRNA (ENSCLAG00000029063.1)". The record is from RNAcentral. Lineage: Eukaryota; Metazoa; Chordata; Mammalia; Rodentia; Chinchillidae.
GUUGCCCACAAGCUUUGGAGGCCCCUGGACCAUUUCAGGAGGGGAUUAGUUGCUGAAUGCCUACAUCGUGCGGGAUCCACAAAACACCGGAGCUGUAUCAGACAAGAAUGCAGCUCAGUGUUCCAGACUCUAGUCCAGACAGUGAACAAUCGUGAAAACUUCAUUUGAUGAUAAAACAAGAGAGAAAUGUGAAGCAGGCUACAGUGAAGAACGGCAGCAGAUGAGGCUGUAUGUGGAAUGGCUGAGAGGGCCCACCAUCAGCAGGCCUUGCACUUAUCUCCAUAUCCCCCACCUCUCCUGCACCACCGGCAUGAUGACAAGUGCUUCUGUGAGGGUGAUUAUUCAUGUGUUUCUGGAUGGAUGUGCAGACUUCGGAGAUGUGCUACCAGAUAUGAUGUUCUCCUUCUUGCCGCCUCAGCUAGAGACCAUGCUGGCUGCCUGCCCAUCACUUCUCCCUCGGCCCAACAAGCAAAUAGCUUCUCAGCUAUGGCCCUGGCUUCUGAAGGUCGAUGUGGCUGAGGAAAAGGUACAGAGGCCCGCUCUCUCCAAGCGCUGCUUUCUGGACCAUGGAAGUGCAGAAGUGCAAGAGGCCUCAUGAGUCUCCUGGCCCAUGAAAGAAACUCCUAUCAAUUUCCAUUCCCCACUCCCUUGUCUAUCUCAUCCCCUGGUGUAAGAUUUGCUAGUUUAAAAUGAAAAAGGAAUAAAGCAUCCCCAC